This 420-nucleotide long non-coding RNA is filed under the name Physcomitrium patens. RNAcentral's name for it is "long non-coding RNA (PPAT_LNC014350)". Lineage: Eukaryota; Viridiplantae; Streptophyta; Bryopsida; Funariales; Funariaceae. The record is from RNAcentral.
UCUUGAUGCCAAUCUUCUAGAACUAAUAUCUCUCUUUUGCACCAUUCGACUGAUUUCAAAAUUCUCAUACACAUAGAAAAACAAGUCUAAUAUUCUCUCACGUAAGUUUCACUUCAAUCCAAUCAAUAGAUUGCAAGAAAUCUCAAAAAACCCCUAUUAGACCUAAAAUUCUACUUUUUGAGACCUUGACCAACUUAAAUCUUAAUAUUCCUCAAUUCAACCGUUAGAUCAAGCUCAAACUCACGUCACAUAUUAAACACAACUAUAACCAUAAAUCCACAAAUUUGCAUCCAUAGAUCUAUUACAAAACACUUGAAAUCACCCAAAACGUAAACCCUAUUUUAUUUCAUAAAACCCAAGUCAUCUAAAACAAACCUUAACUUUGCAAAGCUCUUACAAAUUCAUAUCAACUCCAAAUCA